Molecule: ribosomal RNA, 158 nt
Filed under: Daldinia fissa
Lineage: Eukaryota; Fungi; Ascomycota; Sordariomycetes; Xylariales; Hypoxylaceae
Also listed under: 2 other names
Description: 5.8S ribosomal RNA
Rfam family: 5.8S ribosomal RNA
About the family: 5.8S ribosomal RNA (5.8S rRNA) is a component of the large subunit of the eukaryotic ribosome.
Source: RNAcentral
AAACUUUCAACAACGGAUCUCUUGGUUCUGGCAUCGAUGAAGAACGCAGCGAAAUGCGAUAAGUAAUGUGAAUUGCAGAAUUCAGUGAAUCAUCGAAUCUUUGAACGCACAUUGCGCCCGCUAGUAUUCUAGCGGGCAUGCCUGUCCGAGCGUCAUUU